This 212-nucleotide ribosomal RNA is filed under the name uncultured bacterium. RNAcentral's name for it is "partial 16S ribosomal RNA". It matches the Rfam family "Bacterial small subunit ribosomal RNA", at positions 524 to 735 of the family's 1533-position model. The record is from RNAcentral.
GACGAACCGAGCGAACGUUGUUCGGAAUCACUGGGCUUAAAGAGCUCGUAGGCGGUCUGUCGCGUCUGCUGUGAAAAUCAGGGCUCAACCCUGGACCUGCAGUGGGUACGGGCAGACUAGAGUGCGGUAGGGGAGAUCGGAAUUCCUGGUGUAGCGGUGAAAUGCGCAGAUAUCAGGAGGAACACCGGUGGCGAAGGCGGAUCUCGUGGGCC